This 377-nucleotide ribosomal RNA is filed under the name uncultured bacterium. RNAcentral describes it as "bacterial SSU rRNA". It matches the Rfam family "Bacterial small subunit ribosomal RNA", at positions 1004 to 1382 of the family's 1533-position model. The record is from RNAcentral.
AGAUGAAUUGGUGCCUUCGGGAACUGUGAGACAGGUGCUGCAUGGCUGUCGUCAGCUCGUGUUGUGGAAUGUUGGGUUAAGUCCCGUAACAAGCGCAACCCUUGUCCUUAGUUGCCAUCAUUUAGUUGGGGACUCUAAGGAGACUGCCGGUGACAAACCGGAGGAAGGCGGGGACGACGUCAAGUCAUCAUGGCCCUUACGAGUAGGGCUACACACGUGCUACAAUGGCCGGUACAAACGGUUGCGAAGCCGCGAGGUGGAGCUAAUCUGAGAAAGCCGGUCGUAGUCCGGAUCGGAGUCUGCAACUCGACUCCGUGAAGUCGGAAUCGCUAGUAAUCGUGAAUCAGAAUGUCACGGUGAAUACGUUCCCGGGCCUU